AUUGAACGCUGGCGGCAGGCCUAACACAUGCCAGUCGAACGGUAACAGGAAGCAGCUUGCUGCUUCGCUGACGAGUGGCGGACGGGUGAGUAAUGUCUGGGAAACUGCCUGAUGGAGGGGGAUAACUACUGGAAACGGUAGCUAAUACCGCAUAACGUCGCAAGACCAAAGAGGGGGACCUUAGGGCCUCUCGCCAUCGGAUGUGCCCAGAUGGGAUUAGCUAGUAGGUGGGGUAACGGCUCACCCAGGCGACGAUCCCUAGCUGGUCUGAGAGGAUGACCAGCCACACUGGAACUGAGACACGGUCCAGACUCCUACGGGAGGCAGCAGUGGGGAAUAUUGCACAAUGGGCGCAAGCCUGAUGCAGCCAUGCCGCGUGUAUGAAGAAGGCCUUCGGGUUGUAAAGUACUUUCAGCGGGGAGGAAGGGAGUAAAGUUAAUACCUUUGCUCAUUGACGUUACCCGCAGAAGAAGCACCGGCUAACUCCGUG
Molecule: ribosomal RNA, 490 nt
Filed under: uncultured bacterium
Lineage: Bacteria
Description: partial 16S ribosomal RNA
Rfam family: Bacterial small subunit ribosomal RNA
Source: RNAcentral